UGGGGAGUGGUGCAAUGGCAGCACAGAGGCCUUUGGAGCCUUUGAUCUUGGUUCGAGUCCAGGCUCCCCAG
This 71-nucleotide transfer RNA is filed under the name Chloroflexota bacterium. RNAcentral describes it as "Chloroflexi bacterium tRNA-Gln". It matches the Rfam family "tRNA". Rfam says of the family: Transfer RNA (tRNA) molecules are approximately 80 nucleotides in length. Their secondary structure includes four short double-helical elements and three loops (D, anti-codon, and T loops). Lineage: Bacteria; Bacillati; Chloroflexota. The record is from RNAcentral. RNAcentral also lists the same sequence under 2 other names.